RNAcentral lists this ribosomal RNA (301 nucleotides) under uncultured bacterium. RNAcentral's name for it is "partial 16S ribosomal RNA". It matches the Rfam family "Bacterial small subunit ribosomal RNA", at positions 509 to 807 of the family's 1533-position model. The record is from RNAcentral.
CAGUCGCCGCGGUAAUACGUAGGGUGCGAGCGUUAAUCGGAAUUACUAGGCGUAAAGCGUGCGCAGGCGGUUGUGUAAGACAGGUGUGAAAUCCCCGGGCUUAACCUGGGAACUGCGCUUGUGACUGCACAGCUAGAGUAUGGCAGGGGGGGGUGGAAUUCCACGUGUAGCAGUGAAAUGCGUAGAGAUGUGGAGGAACACCGAUGGCGAAGGCAGCCCCCUGGGAUAACACUGACGCUCAUGCACGAAAGCGUGGGGAGCAAACAGGAUUAGAUACCCGGGUAGUCCCUGUCUCUUAUAC